This is a long non-coding RNA of Pantherophis guttatus, 528 nucleotides long. RefSeq lists it as uncharacterized. The record is from RefSeq and is a predicted model, not a curated record. Lineage: Eukaryota; Metazoa; Chordata; Lepidosauria; Squamata; Colubridae.
CCAACCGGCAUCUUCUCCAUUUCCAGCCAGGUGUUCACUGGCUUCUCCCACAUCGACGUGACCUUCCUGCAUCCACACCUAUAUGCAGAGUGCAGAAGUUGCAGGCUGCAAGCUAAUGGGAAACCUGGUAUCUCAUGCUAGAAGAAUAAAAAAGGUGAGGAAGAAACUUCUGAAAGAUCCAGAUCAGCAGUGCUUGUUUUGACAUUUUGUGGUAUCGCUAUGAGAAGAAUAUUUUCUAAUUGUCUCCACUCAGUUGGUUUUGAUAUUUUAUUUACUGGCAGCUCUAUACUGCUUCCCAUCCAAAGCAAUUCCAAAUAUUUGAUAUAGACAUGAGUGGACAUUUUGCAUUACACAACAGAAUUAUUGCUAAAGACGAUGCUGGCUGAAAGUUAUUUGUUAUCAUUCAUGGAAGAACCGAAGGCAUAUAAAAUAUGGUAGGUAGAAGCAGAGUGCUUUAAUAGGGAAGCAUUCUUGAUACCCAUCUUAAUGUCUUUUUGAUUUCAAUAAAAAAGCAUUCCUGUCUCUCCA